This 496-nucleotide ribosomal RNA is filed under the name uncultured bacterium. RNAcentral's name for it is "partial 16S ribosomal RNA". It matches the Rfam family "Bacterial small subunit ribosomal RNA", at positions 29 to 507 of the family's 1533-position model. The record is from RNAcentral.
AUGAACGCUGGCGGCGUGCCUAAUCCCUGCAAGUCGAGCGAACGGACGAGAAGCUUGCUUCUCUGAUGUUAGCGGCGGACGGGUGAGUAACACGUGGAUAACCUACCUAUAAGACUGGGAUAACUUCGGGAAACCGGAGCUAAUACCGGAUAAUCUUUUGAACCGCAUGGUUCAAAAGUGAAAGACGGUCUUGCUGUCACUUAUAGAUGGAUCCGCGCUGCAUUAGCUAGUUGGUAAGGUAACGGCUUACCAAGGCAACGAUGCAUAGCCGACCUGAGAGGGUGAUCGGCCACACUGGAACUGAGACACGGUCCAGACUCCUACGGGAGGCAGCAGUAGGGAAUCUUCCGCAAUGGGCGAAAGCCUGACGGAGCAACGCCGCGUGAGUGAUGAAGGUCUUCGGAUCGUAAAACUCUGUUAUUAGGGAAGAACAUAUGUGUAAGUAACUGUGCACAUCUUGACGGUACCUAAUCAGAAAGCCACGGCUAACUACGUG